UACAGAGGUCUCAAGCGUUGUUCGGAUUCAUUGGGCGUAAAGGGUGCGUAGGCGGCGCGGUAAGUCGGGUGUGAAAUUUCGAGGCUUAACUUCGAAACUGCAUUCGAUACUGCCGUGCUUGAGGACUGGAGAGGAGAUUGGAAUUCACAGUGGAGCAGUGAAAUGCGUAGAUAUUGUGAGGAACACUAGUGGCGAAGGCGAAUCUCUGGACAGUUCCUGACGCUGAGGCACGAAGGCCAGGGGAGCAAACGGG
Molecule: ribosomal RNA, 253 nt
Filed under: uncultured bacterium
Lineage: Bacteria
Description: partial 16S ribosomal RNA
Rfam family: Bacterial small subunit ribosomal RNA
Source: RNAcentral